AUGGAAGGUCUCCAAAUGUAUACAGAGGACUUGCACUGGAAAAUGUACUCCAGAGGAGUGGUGCUCAACCAACCAGUGAUAUACAGUACAGUAGUGCCUCAACUUACGACUGUCCCUACUUACGAACAAUUCAACUUACAAACAGCUCUAGUCACAAAAAAAUUGCUUCUACUUGCAAUCGGAGCUUCUACUUACAAACAGAAAAAGGCAGGGGGAAAAGGCAGGAAAUUCAAAUUGCUAACUGCAGGUGGUGAAAGAGGCUGCUUCUUUGUAACUUUUGCCCCAAGGGUUAGAGUGAGUGCGAUCGAGGAGGGACUGCCUGACUUCUGCUUCUCAGUGAGCGUGUGUGUGUUUGCAGGGCGGCUUGGGACUGCCUGUUAGGUAAGGUAAGGUGCUGUUUUCUGCUUUUAAAAAAUUGUUCUGAGUGUUUCUGCAGCAUGGUUUUAGGGUGGAGGGUUAUGUUUCUGUGCUGUGAUGGGUCUUGAGGGUUUGUUUGUUUGUUGGGUUCCUCCUCAUUUCUGAUGGGUCUUGGGGGGUUUGGUUGUUUUUUUGGGGGGUCCUGCAUGCUUCCCUUGCUUUUUCCUUUGUUUUCUUUGCAUUUCCGACCUCGUCCCUCUGUUCUCUGUGCAUUUCCAAUCUGCUCCAUUUGUUUUCUAUGCAUUUGAAUGGGUCUUGCACACUUGAUUGCUUUUCUCCCCUCCCCCUUCAGCCCGAAGGGAUUAAUAACAUUUCCAAUUAAUCUUGCAAUGAUUUUUUUCCUUUGGCCGGAAUGGAUUAAUAGGGUUUCAAUGCAUUCCUAUGGGAAAUGGUGCUUCAACUUACGACCAUUUCAACUUACAUCCAUCUUCUAGAGCAGAUUACGGUCGUAAGUGGAGGCACCACUGUAUAUCAUAGGAUUCCCCCCCCUCACAUUUCAUAAAUAUUUUAGUACAGUAUAUCUUUUCAUGUGACAACACUGAAGAAAUGACACUUGCCUACAAUGUAAAGCAGUGAGUAUACAGUUUGUAUAACAGUGUAAAUGUGCUAUCCCCUCAAAAUAAUGCAACAUACAGCCAUUAAUGUCUAAACCGCUGGCAACAAAAGUGGAAAAGCCAUUCCAUGACCUGGCCUAACUUUCCCUCUUUCCCAUGGGUGUCUUCGGGAAACAGGAGGGCUUCGAACCCUGCAUACUGAAAGACCCUCUUCCCACAAGGUCCCAAACACCUCUGAUAGAAGAACUUGUGGGGCUGGGAACCUCCCUCUUCACAUGCAGGGAGAGAGGUCCACUCCUUCCUCCAAGAGGCCUGGCUAAGAAAUUCUGAAAUGUCAAGUAAGGGAGCAAAAACACAGUGCCCGAACCUGUUUUUGGAAGGAAAAAAAAAAGUAUGACAGAUACCAUGACCGAACAUAAUAAGCAGUUAUUACGCUCAGACAGUAUCACUACCUUGAGUGGAAUCUUAAUCACAGAGAGCAUAAUCAAAACACAAAACAACAGGAAUCUUCUGGAGUGGACAGCUGGGGAGAAAUAAUAACAGAAUACUUUUCUCCCACUCCUCACUUUCCUAGACAGAAGGUCCAAAUUAAGCUUCCCCUCCACAUCCACGUAUGCAGUUGGUUCCCACCUCCAAGAAGAAAAUGAAAUUGGUGAGUCCAAUGACCAUGUGCUCUAGCAUAAUCAUUUACUGAUGCUGCAUACUAUAUCAUAGUUAUCCUGUGAGCAUCCAAAAUAUACAUCCUGAAAUACUUUUUGAUUCAGUCACAAGAGCCAGAUGAACCCAGUCACCAAGUCAAUAUCCUGAUAAUCCAAAGACCAUGACAUGAUACCCAAGAUGAGGAGUUCUCAGACCACAUGUAGCAUCAUCCUACCCCACUGCCCUAAUUUAGUCCUUCGUUAUGUUUCCCUUGCUUUUCCCCAUCACACAGCAUAUCUAAUUUGCCCAGCCCUUCAAUCAUUCUGAAUUUAAGAGAACAGCCUAAGGACAAACACAAACAACCCGCACCUCUUGCUUUUGGGUCGGUUUUGAAGCAGGAAGUUGAGAGGAAAGGGCUGCAGGCAUUUACCCCCUAAUCCCUUGAGGAAAUCCAGCAAUUAGAGCAGCAGGUACUUUCGAGAUCAAGAUCAGAUCAACAAGGAGGGCUGGCACACACACACACACCACGGUCUACUAUCAAGAAUGGGAUAUCACAUGUCAAAUACAGGGCAUCCAAAUAUAGAUAUCAGAAGACUUGAGAUCGUGGUUGGUUGCAAAGAAAGUCAGUGGACGUUUAACACCGUGGUGAUAACAGGGCAGAAUCCAUGAAGAAAUAAAACCCCUGUAACCCCCUCCA
RNAcentral lists this long non-coding RNA (2307 nucleotides) under Pogona vitticeps (central bearded dragon). RNAcentral describes it as "lncRNA (ENSPVIG00000012010.1)". The record is from RNAcentral. Lineage: Eukaryota; Metazoa; Chordata; Lepidosauria; Squamata; Agamidae.